RNAcentral lists this unclassified non-coding RNA (336 nucleotides) under Hevea brasiliensis (rubber tree). The record is from RNAcentral. Lineage: Eukaryota; Viridiplantae; Streptophyta; Magnoliopsida; Malpighiales; Euphorbiaceae.
CACGGAAUCAUGUUGAAUUGACCUAAUUGUGCCCUUGAUACAUAACACCCUGCUUCAGCCAGGCUGAAGUUGCAAAAACAUAGAAAAAUUACCGCUCAAGGUCGAUAAUAAGGAAAUAUUAAAGCAUUUAGCGCAAGAAACAUGGUCUACUUGCAUACUUCUCGAAAAUGUUUCGUCAGUAAUGAAAGUUGAGCAGUUCAAGCAAAAAUAAAGGCAAUACAUUGGUUGUUUCCAAAAAAAAAAAAAAAAAAAAAAAAAAAAAAAACAACCGAAGCAACUCGGAGACAAACUAGUGCACCCACAACAGUAAGCACAAACAACAUUUAAGUAAUGAUU